CGGGUGAGUAACACGUGAGUAACCUGCCCUUCACUCUGGGGUAACGUCGGGAAACCGGUGCUAAUACUGGAUACGGCCUGAACAGGCAUCUGUAUCGGGUGGAAAGAUUUAUUGGUGGAGGAUGGACUCGCGGCCUAUCAGCUUGUUGGUGAGGUAAUGGCUUACCAAGGCGACGACGGGUAGCCGGCCUGAGAGGGCGAUCGGCCACACUGGGACUGAGACACGGCCCAG
Molecule: ribosomal RNA, 231 nt
Filed under: uncultured bacterium
Lineage: Bacteria
Description: partial 16S ribosomal RNA
Rfam family: Bacterial small subunit ribosomal RNA
Source: RNAcentral